UACAGAGGGGGCAAGCGUUGUUCGGAAUUACUGGGCGUAAAGGGCGCGUAGGCGGCCUGUUAAGUCGAACGUGAAAUCCCCGGGCUCAACCCGGGAACUGCGUCCGAUACUGGCAGGCUUGAAUCCGGGAGAGGGAUGCGGAAUUCCAGGUGUAGCGGUGAAAUGCGUAGAUAUCCGAAGGAACGCCGGUGGCGAAAGCGACGUGCUGGAUCUCUUCUGACGCUGAGGCGCGAAAGCCAGGGUAGCGAACGGG
This 253-nucleotide ribosomal RNA is filed under the name uncultured bacterium. RNAcentral describes it as "partial 16S ribosomal RNA". It matches the Rfam family "Bacterial small subunit ribosomal RNA", at positions 524 to 776 of the family's 1533-position model. The record is from RNAcentral.